This 342-nucleotide unclassified non-coding RNA is filed under the name soil metagenome. RNAcentral describes it as "partial contains 5.8S ribosomal RNA, internal transcribed spacer 2, and large subunit ribosomal RNA". The stretch from base 1 to 120 matches the Rfam family "5.8S ribosomal RNA", at positions 35 to 154 of the family's 154-position model. The record is from RNAcentral.
GAUGAAGAACGUAGCGAAAUGCGAUAAGUAAUGUGAAUUGCAGAAUUCAGUGAAUCAUCGAAUCUUUGAACGCACAUUGCGCCCGCCAGCACUCUGGCGGGCAUGCCUGUUCGAGCGCCAUUUCAACCAUCAAGCCCCCAGGGGCUUGUGCUGGGGCCCUGCGGCUGCCCGCAGGCCCUGAAAACCAGUGGCGGGCUCGCUAGUCACACCGAGCGCAGUAGCACAUCUCGCUCAGGGCGUGCGGCGGGCUCCUGCCGUGAAACCCCCCACUGUAACCCCAAAGGUUGACCUCGGAUCAGGUAGGAAUACCCGCUGAACUUAAGCAUAUCAAUAAGCGGAGGA